GCUUGUCUCAAAGAUUAAGCCAUGCAUGUCUAAGUAUAAACUGCUUUAUACUGUGAAACUGCGAAUGGCUCAUUAAAUCAGUUAUAGUUUAUUUGAUGGUACUUACUUACUCGGAUAACCGUAGUAAUUCUAGAGCUAAUACAUGCGCAAAUACCCAACUGCUUGUCGGACGGGUAGCAUUUAUUAGAUUGAAACCAAUGCAGUCUUCGGGCUGGUAUUGUGUUGAGUCAUAAUAACUGUGCGGAUCGCGUUUUACGCGAUAAAUCGAUUGAGUUUCUGCCCUAUCAGCUUUGGAUGGUAGGAUAUGGGCCUACCAUGGCAUUAACGGGUAACGGGGAAUUAGGGUUCGAUUCCGGAGAGGGAGCCUGAGAAACGGCUACCACAUCCAAGGAAGGCAGCAGG
Molecule: ribosomal RNA, 402 nt
Filed under: Salilagenidium thermophilum
Lineage: Eukaryota; Oomycota; Peronosporomycetes; Pythiales; Lagenidiaceae
Description: partial small subunit ribosomal RNA
Rfam family: Eukaryotic small subunit ribosomal RNA
Source: RNAcentral